This 27-nucleotide non-coding RNA is filed under the name Rattus norvegicus (Norway rat). Lineage: Eukaryota; Metazoa; Chordata; Mammalia; Rodentia; Muridae. The record is from RNAcentral.
UGAUGACCUGGAAACCUUUGCUUAUCA